CCAACCUGCCCAGUAGUGGGGGAUAGCCUUGCGAAAGCCGGAUUAAUACCGCAUGAGACCUGAGGGUGAAAGCGGGGGAUCGCAAGACCUCCCGCUAUUGGAGCGGCCGAUAUCAGAUUAGCUAGUUGGUGGGGUAAAGGCCCACCAAGGCAACGAUCUGUAGUUGGUCUGAGAGGACGACCAGCCCCACUGGGACUGAGACACGGCCCAGACUCCUACGGGAGGCAGCAGUGGGGAAUUUUGGACAAUGGGCGCAAGCCUGAUCCAGCAAUGCCGCGUGCAGGAAGAAGGCCUUCGGGUUGUAAACUGCUUUUGUCAGGGAAGAAAUCCUCUGGGUUAAUACCUCCGGGGGAUGACGGUACCUGAAGAAUAAGCACCGGCUAACUACGUGCCCGCAGCCGCGGUAAUACGUAGGGUGCGAGCGUUAAUCGGAAUUACUGGGCGUAAAGCGUGCGCAGGCGGCUUUGCAAGACAGAUGUGAAAUCCCCGGGCUCAACCUGGGAACUGCAUUUGUGACUGCAAGGCUAGAGUACGGUAGAGGGGGAUGGAAUUCCGCGUGUAGCAGUGAAAUGCGUAGAUAUGCGGAGGAACACCAAUGGCGAAGGCAAUCCCCUGACCUGU
RNAcentral lists this ribosomal RNA (621 nucleotides) under uncultured Burkholderiales bacterium. Its description in RNAcentral is "bacterial SSU rRNA". It matches the Rfam family "Bacterial small subunit ribosomal RNA", at positions 121 to 737 of the family's 1533-position model. Lineage: Bacteria; Pseudomonadati; Pseudomonadota; Betaproteobacteria; Burkholderiales. The record is from RNAcentral.